AGCAGCCGCGGUAAUUCCAGCUCCAAUAGCGUAUAUUAAAGUUGUUGCAGUUAAAAAGCUCGUAGUUGAAUUUCGGGAUUGACACAUCGGUCGUGCCUUAAGGGGUAUGAACUGGUGUAGUCAAUUUCUCACCUUCUGGAGAACCGCGAUGCCCUUAAUUGGGUGUCGCGGGGAACCAGGACCUUUACUUUGAAAAAUUAGAGUGUUUAAAGCAGGCAUUUUGCUUGAAUACAUUAGCAUGGAAUAAUAAAAUAGGACGGCAUGAUUCUAUUUUGUGGUUUCUAGGAUCACCGUAAUGAUUAAUAGGGAUAGUUGGGGGCAUUAGUGUUCAAUUGUCAGAGGUGAAAUUCUUGGAUUUAUCGAAGACUAACUACUGCGAAAGCAUUUGCCAAGGAUGUUUUCAUUAAUCAAGAACGAAAGUUAGGGGAUCGAAGACGAUCAGAUACCGUCGUAGUCUUAACCAUAAACUAUGCCGACUAGGAAUCAGACGAUGUUAAUUUUUAAUGACUCGUUUGGCACC
RNAcentral lists this ribosomal RNA (520 nucleotides) under uncultured Entrophospora. Its description in RNAcentral is "SSU rRNA". It matches the Rfam family "Eukaryotic small subunit ribosomal RNA", at positions 569 to 1087 of the family's 1831-position model. The record is from RNAcentral. Lineage: Eukaryota; Fungi; Glomeromycota; Glomeromycetes; Entrophosporales; Entrophosporaceae.